AGCAGCCGCGGUAAUUCCAGCUCCAAUAGCGUAUAUUAAAGUUGUUGCAGUUAAAAAGCUUGUAGUUGAAUUUCGGGGUUAGUAGGUUGGUCAUGCCUCUGGUAUGUACUGGUCUCACUGAUUCCUCCUUCCUGAUGAACCUUAAUGCCAUUAAUUUGGUGUUUUGGGGAAUUUGGACUGUUACUUUGAAAAAAUUAGAGUGUUUAAAGCAAGCUAACGCUUGAAUACAUUAGCAUGGAAUAAUGAAAUAGGACGUUCGAUCCUAUUUUGUUGGUUUCUAGGAUUGACGUAAUGAUUAAUAGGGAUAGUUGGGGGCAUUAGUAUUCAAUUGUCAGAGGUGAAAUUCUUGGAUUUAUUGAAGACUAACUACUGCGAAAGCAUUUGCCAAGGAUGUUUUCAUUAAUCAAGAACGAAAGUUAGGGGAUCGAAGACGAUCAGAUACCGUCGUAGUCUUAACCAUAAACUAUGCCGACUAGGGAUCGGAUGAUGUUAAUUUUUUAAUGACUCAUUCGGCGCCUUACG
Molecule: ribosomal RNA, 522 nt
Filed under: uncultured Glomeromycotina
Lineage: Eukaryota; Fungi; Glomeromycota
Description: SSU rRNA
Rfam family: Eukaryotic small subunit ribosomal RNA
Source: RNAcentral